Helianthus annuus (common sunflower) is the source of this 375-nucleotide long non-coding RNA. RefSeq lists it as uncharacterized. The record is from RefSeq and is a predicted model, not a curated record. The transcript has 3 exons. Lineage: Eukaryota; Viridiplantae; Streptophyta; Magnoliopsida; Asterales; Asteraceae.
GCGUACAACACAGAAGCCAGGAGAGCUCCCUAAAACCCAAACCCUAAUCUACAAAUUCUUCAAAUUGAGAAGCCAAAUCAAGUUCAAAUCAAAAACCAAGCACAAACUAGUGAUCACUCAAGUGAGGGGAUCACAAGGCAAAAGAAUUGAAUCUUUAAGCGGGCGAGCCGGAGUUGAUACACGCUUGAAGGAAAAGCACUAAAGUUUUUAGGUAUCCAAGGACUACGGAUGAUGGUCAAGCUAGCUUUUGAAGAACCGAACACAAACUUUUAAAGCUUCCGCGUAAAUUAACUCUGUUUAAACAAUGUUGUGAUGUAAACCGUUUGUUAAACAACUUAUGGAUGUUUUAAUUAGUUGGUAGACAACUAUGUUUGU